UUCGCGUUGGCAGAAUUAAUGCAAUUGAUUUAAGCUCAAUCCAUGAAAAUUUAUUUUCACGCGGCA
Molecule: transfer RNA, 66 nt
Filed under: Melaenis sp. YZ-2018
Lineage: Eukaryota; Metazoa; Annelida; Polychaeta; Phyllodocida; Polynoidae
Description: tRNA-Leu
Source: RNAcentral